GCCGAGGUGGCGAAACUGGCAGACGCACUGGCUUCAGGAGUCAGCGGCCGCAAGGCCAUGGGAGUUCAAGUCUCCCCCUCGGCA
RNAcentral lists this transfer RNA (84 nucleotides) under Candidatus Liptonbacteria bacterium. Its description in RNAcentral is "tRNA-Leu". It matches the Rfam family "tRNA". From Rfam's summary of the family: Transfer RNA (tRNA) molecules are approximately 80 nucleotides in length. Their secondary structure includes four short double-helical elements and three loops (D, anti-codon, and T loops). The record is from RNAcentral. Lineage: Bacteria; Candidatus Liptoniibacteriota.